AGAGUUUGAUCCUGGCUCAGGACGAACGCUGGCGGCGUGCCUAACACAUGCAAGUCGAACGGACUAACGUUUAGCACUGAGUGUUCAGUGAAGUUGGUUAAAGCGAGAGCUCGAACGUAGUGAAGCGAAGAGAGAGCUCCAGGCUUUAUAAGUGCCAACACAGUGUGCUAAAGGGAAACAGUAAGAACACUGAGUGCUAGACGUUAGUUAGUG
This 213-nucleotide ribosomal RNA is filed under the name Desulfitobacterium hafniense DCB-2. RNAcentral describes it as "partial 16S ribosomal RNA gene". The record is from RNAcentral. Lineage: Bacteria; Bacillati; Bacillota; Clostridia; Eubacteriales; Desulfitobacteriaceae.